This 551-nucleotide ribosomal RNA is filed under the name uncultured bacterium. RNAcentral's name for it is "bacterial SSU rRNA". It matches the Rfam family "Bacterial small subunit ribosomal RNA", at positions 355 to 896 of the family's 1533-position model. The record is from RNAcentral.
UGGGGAAUCUUCCGCAAUGGACGAAAGUCUGACCGAGCAACGCCGCGUGAGUGAAGAAGGUUUUCGGAUCGUAAAGCUCUGUUGUAAGAGAAGAACGGGUGUGAGAGUGGAAAGUUCACACUGUGACGGUAUCUUACCAGAAAGGGACGGCUAACUACGUGCCAGCAGCCGCGGUAAUACGUAGGUCCCGAGCGUUGUCCGGAUUUAUUGGGCGUAAAGCGAGCGCAGGCGGUUAGAUAAGUCUGAAGUUAAAGGCUGUGGCUUAACCAUAGUACGCUUUGGAAACUGUUUAACUUGAGUGCAGAAGGGGAGAGUGGAAUUCCAUGUGUAGCGGUGAAAUGCGUAGAUAUAUGGAGGAACACCGGUGGCGAAAGCGGCUCUCUGGUCUGUAACUGACGCUGAGGCUCGAAAGCGUGGGGAGCGAACAGGAUUAGAUACCCUGGUAGUCCACGCCGUAAACGAUGAGUGCUAGGUGUUAGACCCUUUCCGGGGUUUAGUGUCGCAGCUAACGCAUUAAGCACUCCGCCUGGGGGAGUACGACCGCAAGGUUG